This 253-nucleotide ribosomal RNA is filed under the name uncultured bacterium. RNAcentral describes it as "partial 16S ribosomal RNA". It matches the Rfam family "Bacterial small subunit ribosomal RNA", at positions 524 to 776 of the family's 1533-position model. The record is from RNAcentral.
UACGUAGGGUGCGAGCGUUAAUCGGAAUUACUGGGCGUAAAGCGUGCGCAGGCGGUGAGCUGUGUCCGAUGUGAAAGCCCCGGGCUCAACCUGGGAAUUGCAUUCGAGACUGCAUGGCUAGGGUGCGGAAGAGGGAAGCGGAAUUUCCGGUGUAGCGGUGAAAUGCGUAGAUAUCGGAAGGAACACCAGUGGCGAAAGCGGCUUCCUGGUCCAGCACCGACGUUCAGGCACGAAAGCGUGGGGAGCAAACAGG